CCUACGGGUGGCAGCAGUGAGGAAUAUUGGUCAAUGGACGGAAGUCUGAACCAGCCAUGCCGCGUGCAGGAAGAUGGCUUUAUGAGUUGUAAACUGCUUUUUUACAAGGGUAAACCUGAAUACGUGUAUUCAGCUGAAAUUACUGUACGAAUAAGGAUCGGGUAACUCCGUGCCAGCACCCGCGGUAUUACGGAGGAUCCAAGCGUUAUCCGGAUUUAUUGGGUUUAAAGGGUGCGUAGGCGGAUUGUUAAGUUAGAGGUGAAAUGUCCGGGCUUACGGCGGGAACUGCCUCUAAUACUGUUGAUCUAGAGAGUAGAUGCGGUAGGCGGAAUGUAUGGUGUAGCGGUGAAAUGCUUAGAGAUCAUACAGAACACCGAUUGCGAAGGCAGCUUACCAAUCUAUAUCUGACGUUGAGGCACGAAAGCGUGGGGAGCAAACAGGAUUAGAUACCCUGGUAGUC
Molecule: ribosomal RNA, 460 nt
Filed under: uncultured bacterium
Lineage: Bacteria
Description: partial 16S ribosomal RNA
Rfam family: Bacterial small subunit ribosomal RNA
Source: RNAcentral